Molecule: transfer RNA, 84 nt
Filed under: Petromyzon marinus (sea lamprey)
Lineage: Eukaryota; Metazoa; Chordata; Hyperoartia; Petromyzontiformes; Petromyzontidae
Description: tRNA-Leu (CAA) (tRNA-Leu-CAA-18-1)
Rfam family: tRNA
About the family: Transfer RNA (tRNA) molecules are approximately 80 nucleotides in length. Their secondary structure includes four short double-helical elements and three loops (D, anti-codon, and T loops).
Source: RNAcentral
GUCGGGAUGACCGAGCGGUCGAAGGCGUCAGACUCAACAUCUGGUCUCCGAAUGGAGGCGUGGGUUCGAACCCCACUCCUGACA